UGGGGAAUAUUGGGCAAUGGGCGAAAGCCUGACCCAGCAACGCCGCGUGAAGGAAGAAGGUUUUCGGAUUGUAAACUUCUGUCCUCAGGGAAGAAGGACGUGACGGUACCUGAGGAGGAAACCCCGGCUAACUACGUGCCAGCAGCCGCGGUAAUACGGAGGGGGCGAGCGUUGUCCGGAAUGACUGGGCGUAAAGGGCGCGUAGACGGCUGUCUAAGUCUGGAGUGAAAGUCCUGUUUUCAAGGCGGGAAUUGCUUUGGAGACUGGAUGGCUUGAGUGCGGAAGAGGUAAGUGGAAUGCCCAGUGUAGCGGUGAAAUGCGUAGAGAUUGGGAGGAACACCAGUGGCGAAGGCGACUUACUGGGCCGUAACUGACGUUGAAGCGCGAAAGCGUGGGGAGCGAACA
RNAcentral lists this ribosomal RNA (405 nucleotides) under uncultured prokaryote. Its description in RNAcentral is "bacterial SSU rRNA". It matches the Rfam family "Bacterial small subunit ribosomal RNA", at positions 355 to 774 of the family's 1533-position model. The record is from RNAcentral.